UAGAUGACAGUGUACACAUGGAGGCAGAUGAAAACGAUAGCUGGCUCCAUAGGGGAGAUUUGGGAGAAAAUAAAGACAUACUUCAUGUGGGGACAGGUGAAUCAGAAGGCUACUUUUGGUGAGAUGGAAG
Setaria italica (foxtail millet) is the source of this 130-nucleotide long non-coding RNA. RefSeq lists it as uncharacterized. Lineage: Eukaryota; Viridiplantae; Streptophyta; Magnoliopsida; Poales; Poaceae. The transcript has 3 exons. The record is from RefSeq and is a predicted model, not a curated record.